GGUUAGUGGAAUUCAUGGCUUGGGAAAUUGGUAAAUAGAAUAAGUUUUAAAGGUUGGUUAGGUAAAUUGAAUAAUAAUAGGUUAAAUAAAUAAAACAAAUACAAAAGUAUGGCCAUAUUUGCUUCAUUAUUGCCGAAUAUACAAAGAAAGGAUAGGAGAAAAGAGUUUUAACGGUUCGACACGUUUGGGGCUUGAUUUAGGUAAGUUUUAAGCUCGAUUUUUGAUAAUUUUUACGUUUUUGAGAUCAUUGCUUCGUGUUUUACAAAACCUAUGCUUAAAUUUUAAAAUUUGAUGAUGAUUUCAUGAGAUGCAUUGU
Molecule: long non-coding RNA, 316 nt
Filed under: Gossypium barbadense (sea-island cotton)
Lineage: Eukaryota; Viridiplantae; Streptophyta; Magnoliopsida; Malvales; Malvaceae
Description: long non-coding RNA (GBAR_LNC000783)
Source: RNAcentral